GACGAACGCUGGCGGCGUGCUUAACACAUGCAAGUCGAACGGAAAGGCCCUGCUUUUGUGGGGUGCUCGAGUGGCGAACGGGUGAGUAACACGUGAGUAACCUGCCCUUGACUUUGGGAUAACUUCAGGAAACUGGGGCUAAUACCGGAUAGGAGCUCCUGCUGCAUGGUGGGGGUUGGAAAGUUUCGGCGGUUGGGGAUGGACUCGCGGCUUAUCAGCUUGUUGGUGGGGUAGUGGCUUACCAAGGCUUUGACGGGUAGCCGGCCUGGGAGGGUGACCGGCCACAUUGGGACUGAGAUACGGCCCAGACUCCUACGGGGGGAAGCAGGGGGGAAUAUUGCACAAUGGGCGGAAGCCUGAUGCAGCAACGCCGGGUGCGGGAUGACGGCCUUCGGGUUGAAAACCGCUUUCGCCUGGGACGAAGCGUGGGUGACGGUAAUGGGUAAAAAAGCACCGGCUAACUACGU
This 467-nucleotide ribosomal RNA is filed under the name uncultured bacterium. Its description in RNAcentral is "partial 16S ribosomal RNA". It matches the Rfam family "Bacterial small subunit ribosomal RNA", at positions 28 to 506 of the family's 1533-position model. The record is from RNAcentral.